UACGUAGGCAGCGAGCGUUGUUCGGAUUUAUUGGGCGUAAAGAGCUCGUAGGCGGCUUGUCGCGUCGACUGUGAAAACCCGUGGCUCAACCAUGUGGUCUGCAGUCGAUACGGGCAGGCUAGAAUUCGGUAGGGGAGACUGGAAUUCCUGGUGUAGCGGUGAAAUGCGCAGAUAUCAGGAGGAACACCGGUGGCGAAGGCGGGUCUCUGGGCCGAUAUUGACGCUGAGGAGCGAAAGCGUGGGGAGCGAACAGG
RNAcentral lists this ribosomal RNA (254 nucleotides) under uncultured bacterium. RNAcentral describes it as "partial 16S ribosomal RNA". It matches the Rfam family "Bacterial small subunit ribosomal RNA", at positions 524 to 776 of the family's 1533-position model. The record is from RNAcentral.